UGUUGAAACGGAUGUAGCGAUGGUCGG
RNAcentral lists this small RNA (27 nucleotides) under Bombyx mori (domestic silkworm). RNAcentral's name for it is "ovarian small RNA-36144". Lineage: Eukaryota; Metazoa; Arthropoda; Insecta; Lepidoptera; Bombycidae. The record is from RNAcentral.